This 957-nucleotide ribosomal RNA is filed under the name uncultured Burkholderiales bacterium. Its description in RNAcentral is "bacterial SSU rRNA". It matches the Rfam family "Bacterial small subunit ribosomal RNA", at positions 45 to 999 of the family's 1533-position model. The record is from RNAcentral. Lineage: Bacteria; Pseudomonadati; Pseudomonadota; Betaproteobacteria; Burkholderiales.
UGCCUUACCAUGCAAGUCGAACGGCAGCGCGGACUUCGGUCUGGCGGCGAGUGGCGAACGGGUGAGUAAUGUAUCGGAACGUGCCCUAGAGUGGGGGAUAACGUAGCGAAAGUUACGCUAAUACCGCAUACGAUCUAUGGAUGAAAGUGGGGGACCGUAAGGCCUCACGCUCAUGGAGCGGCCGAUAUCUGAUUAGCUAGUUGGUAGGGUAAUAGCCUACCAAGGCGACGAUCAGUAGCUGGUCUGAGAGGACGACCAGCCACACUGGGACUGAGACACGGCCCAGACUCCUACGGGAGGCAGCAGUGGGGAAUUUUGGACAAUGGGGGAAACCCUGAUCCAGCAAUGCCGCGUGUGUGAAGAAGGCCUCCGGGUUGUAAAGCACUUUUGUCAGGAACGAAACGGUGGGGGCUAAUAUCCUCUGCUAAUGACGGUACCUGAAGAAUAAGCACCGGCUAACUACGUGCCAGCAGCCGCGGUAAUACGUAGGGUGCGAGCGUUAAUCGGAAUUACUGGGCGUAAAGCGUGCGCAGGCGGUUGUGCAAGACAGAUGUGAAAUCCCCGGGCUUAACCUGGGAAUUGCAUUUGUGACUGCACGGCUAGAGUGUGUCAGAGGGGGGUAGAAUUCCACGUGUAGCAGUGAGAUGCGUAGAUAUGUGGAGGAAUACCAAUGGCGAAGGCAGCCCCCUGGGAUAACACUGACGCUCAUGCACGAAAGCGUGGGGAGCAAACAGGAUUAGAUACCCUGGUAGUCCACGCCCUAAACGAUGCUGACUAGUUGUUCGGGAUUUACAUCCUGAGUAACGUAGCUAACGCGUGAAGUCAGCCGCCUGGGGAGUACGGUCGCAAGAUUAAAACUCAAAGGAAUUGACGGGGACCCGCACAAGCGGUGGAUGAUGUGGAUUAAUUCGAUGCAACGCGAAAAACCUUACCUACCCUUGACAUGUCACUAACGAA